This 263-nucleotide long non-coding RNA is filed under the name Vigna radiata. RNAcentral's name for it is "long non-coding RNA (VRAD_LNC000308)". Lineage: Eukaryota; Viridiplantae; Streptophyta; Magnoliopsida; Fabales; Fabaceae. The record is from RNAcentral.
GAAUUCAAAAAUGGAGGCCAAGCACUUUGGUCCCUUUCGAUUCAGGUAAAAUUUCGUUUUUGAUGCCAUUUGCAUGCCAAUAGCUUCAUUUAAUGGGAACAUUAGGUUAACUUGUCUUUUCCUCUAUUAAUCAGACAAUUACGAUAUCUGUCCUUUUUUCCAUUACCAUUUUAUACUUUUUUUUCACAAUUUCUCUAAUCUAACCUACCACUUAAUAUAACUCUCUUUCUCCAUCCUUCAUCAAUGCUAUAAUUCAUUUUCUC